UAGAUACCCUGGUAGUCCAUGCCGUAAACGGUGGGCGCUAGGUGUAGGGGUCUUCCACGACUUCUGUGCCGUAGCUAACGCAUUAAGCGCCCCGCCUGGGGAGUACGGCCGCAAGGCUAAAACUCAAAGGAAUUGACGGGGGCCCGCACAAGCGGCGGAGCAUGUGGAUUAAUUCGAUGCAACGCGAAGAACCUUACCUGGCUUGACAUAUACAGGACUGGGCCAGAGAUGGUCUUUCCCUUUGUGGCUU
This 250-nucleotide ribosomal RNA is filed under the name uncultured bacterium. RNAcentral describes it as "partial 16S ribosomal RNA". It matches the Rfam family "Bacterial small subunit ribosomal RNA", at positions 779 to 1029 of the family's 1533-position model. The record is from RNAcentral.